RNAcentral lists this ribosomal RNA (405 nucleotides) under uncultured bacterium. RNAcentral's name for it is "partial 16S ribosomal RNA". It matches the Rfam family "Bacterial small subunit ribosomal RNA", at positions 28 to 526 of the family's 1533-position model. The record is from RNAcentral.
GAUGAACGCUGGCGGCGUGCCUAAUACAUGCAAGUCGAGCGAAGCGGGGACGGGUGAGUAACACGUGGAUAACCUCCUAUAAGACUGGGAUAACUUCGGGAAACCGGGGCUAAACCGUAUAUUAAUAGAUGGAUCCGCGCUGCAUUAGCUAGUUGGUAAGGUAACGGCGUACAAAGGCAACGAUGCAUAGCCGACCUGAGAGGGGGAUCGGCCACACUGGAACUUAGACACGGUCCAGCCGCCUACGGGAGGCAGCAGUAGGGAAUCUUCCGCAAUGGGCGAAAGCCUGAAGGAGCAACGCCGCGUGAGUGAUGAAGGUCUUCGGAUCGUAAAACUCUGUUAUUAGGGAAGCGGUACCUAAUCAGAAAGCCACGGCUAACUACGUGCCAGCAGCCGCGGUAAUAC